GGCGGCGCGGGGCCCGCCGAGGCCACGGCGAUGCCACCGCCGGGGUUCGGCGGGAUCGUCGCCGGGGUGCUGCCG
RNAcentral lists this transfer RNA (75 nucleotides) under Pseudonocardia halophobica. RNAcentral's name for it is "tRNA-Gly". The record is from RNAcentral. Lineage: Bacteria; Bacillati; Actinomycetota; Actinomycetes; Pseudonocardiales; Pseudonocardiaceae.